This 250-nucleotide ribosomal RNA is filed under the name uncultured bacterium. Its description in RNAcentral is "partial 16S ribosomal RNA". It matches the Rfam family "Bacterial small subunit ribosomal RNA", at positions 524 to 773 of the family's 1533-position model. The record is from RNAcentral. RNAcentral also lists the same sequence under 1 other name.
UACGUAGGGUGCAAGCGUUGUCCGGAAUUAUUGGGCGUAAAGAGCUCGUAGGCGGUUUGUUGCGUCGGCUGUGAAAACCUGAGGCUCAACCUCAGGCCUGCAGUCGAUACGAGCAGACUAGAGUGUUGCAGGGGAGACUGGAAUUCCUGGUGUAGCGGUGAAAUGCGCAGAUAUCAGGAGGAACACCGGUGGCGAAGGCGGGUCUCUGGGCAACAACUGACGCUGAGGAGCGAAAGCGUGGGGAGCGAAC